ACUCCAAUUGUAUAUCUAGGUACGAGUGUAUACUUCUUAAUUUUGAUGUAUAUUUGUGAUACAAGUCCAAGUGCAACCUCAAUCAUCAGUAUGUUCUGAUGGCUGCUGGCCCGUCUGCUAAUAGCCUGCCGAUACAGCCUUGGCACGUUGAGGCACAAGGUGCCACGGCUGCAUGAUCUGAUGGUGCGGGUUGUGACUUAAGCGGCGCAUCAAGGCCUGUGGCAUGCUACGAGUGUACUGUCGACUGCUGCUCCAUCCUCACCGCUCAAAAACAGCACUGUCAUCCAGCUAGGCUGCGUAAUCUUUUCUCCGUUUCUUUUCACUUUAAAUUGUUGUUAGGAUGAUCCCCAUCAGAAGAGAAAUGACUGGUUGAUGCAGUAAAGUUUCUCAUUUUAACAUAUGCAUUCUAGGUGCCUGUUAAAAUUCCUAGCAGCAAUUCUAAGUUCAUGUCAGCUAACGUCUACAUAAAUAGCUUCUCAGUAUUAACUAAUAGUGACAGAAUAUAUUGAUUUGGUAAAUACAUCUGUUAGGAUGGCCGAGUUUGUUGGAAGCAUUCUAUGAAAAUGAUAAGCUUUUUGUGGAGAAUCUGGUUUGCAUAGCUGAAUACAUCUCACAGGGGCUUUUGUCAGAAGAUGUUGCUGAACGCUUGCAAGCUUUUUGGUGCAAACAGAUUGAAGAAGUGUGUAAGUUGACUGCCUUUUCUGAUCAUCGUUUACCUUAAAACAUUCCUGUUUUGAACGCCUGACAUUUUAACUCUUUUUUAUGGAGUAUAUUAUCAUUGAGUUCUUCAAGUUCAUGCGGAACCCUUUGUCCUGGGUGAGUGAGGCAGCAGCAGUGAUCAUUCGUCUUAGCAAAUGGUGGUAGCCAAGGUCCUGGCUGGGAAGAUUUUCUGGGAACUGUCUACCUCUGAAUUUCAUUUGUGUUUUUUGAAUAUAUACCUCUGAACGAUGGAAUUCUUGAGUAGCACACUUGGUUGCUCCAUGGACAAGCUCUGCUCCGCGCUCUGCAAGUGUCCAAAUUCUGGAAUUAUCGGAGAGGAAACUUAGCACCAAGAUAGAGUUCUUUCUUGGUUAGCAAGGUCAGAUUGGAGCCUGACUAAAUUUUGCAGAGGCCUCUGUAACUGUGUUGCUUGAGCUCAGCCUGGAGAAGCGGCUAAUACCGAGGCAUUAUGUUGUAGGAGGAUUUGGUAAAAGAAGGUUUUGGCUUUUACGAUUGUGUAUGCAUGCGUGACGAAGAUUUUGUCGCAAAGUACAUUGAUCAGCAUUUGCACUCUGACGUGCGCCUUUUGGAAAUUGCCUUUGAAAGUCGAACUAUUAACCUCUUUGCAUGGGCGUAUUGGACAUUAGUUAUCUUUCAGGCCUUGGGUUAAUGCAACGCUUCAUUCCCUGAGGCUCAUUGUUAAUGUUCAAUCCUGGUAAUAUCUGUUUUGGGAUUCUGAUUUCGACAGUACCAGUAGUAACGAUCUGAUUGCUCAUAAUGCUAAGCAAGUUUCUAUCCUGGUAAUAUCUGUUCUUUUUAUCUUGUUUCCUUGCUUCAAGAUAUUUUCCUGUUCAGUCACUUCGAAGUUUGAGCAGACAGGAUUUUGGCCACAAUACCUGCAUCAUUUUCUCUCCCCUCUGUGUUUCUGAACCUAUGAUUUUAUUCAGCCUUCAGUUGAAGUUUACAUUGCUCGCUAGGAUUAUUGGGAUGCACAAUGCACGGGUUCAGAUAUUCAACCUUCAGUUGAAGUAUAUUUGCUUUUAAUGGGCAACUGUUGACUGGUGAAGAUACUAUUUAUUACAUUUUGUGUGUACCUUUGUGAAGUGUUUUUCAUUUGCUAUAGGGACUUAAACAUACAAGUAAAAUUGAAGGAACUUUUGAUCCAUUGGAGAGAUCAGCUGGAAUAUCAGAACAACUGUAGACAGUUGAAGUUCAAUGCAAUGUGAUUGAUGAUAGCGCUCUUAAAGUUUGAGAUUUCAAUUUCGAGGAAGCUAGUGCCAUUUUGAGAAUUAGAUGACCAUGAAGAUGACGAACAGCACCCUCUUGAUCUACAUAGCUCUUGAUGCUAGAAAUUUGAGCCUGGAACGACAUUGCUCUUUGGAUCAUGCAUUUUUUUUUUUGUAUAUCUGUUCCACAAAGAUUUUACUUUUAGCUUCCCUCAUUUGUCAUAGAAAAGGUUAAUUACAGCAUUGGAGUUUGGUAAAUCACGAGAACCAUUGCACUCGGAUUUAGAAAAGUAAGAGAAAUGCAUUAGGAUUUUACAAAAGUGAAGGCCAUGUUAGUUUUCCUGGCUUUGAAUUAAUUUUCGUAAGUUAGGAGAAAAAGAAGUUUUUUUAAUGAAGGGAAUAGCUCCUCAUUGCAUAUCUUAUUUCUGUAUUAGAGCAAGCUCAAUAGAAGAGCUAACUAUUGGCUUCAAAAUUUUUCUAUGUCACUAGGACCAA
Oryza brachyantha (malo sina) is the source of this 2420-nucleotide long non-coding RNA. RefSeq lists it as uncharacterized. The record is from RefSeq and is a predicted model, not a curated record. The transcript is spliced from 3 exons. Lineage: Eukaryota; Viridiplantae; Streptophyta; Magnoliopsida; Poales; Poaceae.